AGAUUCUGUUGGUAACGAUGCGAGUGAUAAUGAUAAUGAGAUGUAGACUACAAAUAUAUGUAAUUGAUUUAUUUUUAUAUUUAGUCUGUAUUUAGAACAUGGAUAAAAAAAUACAUUAUAUAUUAUGUCCAUUUUAUAUUUCAUCCGUUGAAAUGAAAAAAAUUCAUUCAUAUUAUAAUUCUAACUUUCUAUCCUUAACCUCAUAAAUCUAUUUUGUACUUUGUCCGUAAUGUUACGUUUAUCCUGUCUGUCGUUUAACAUUUGAUCGAGAUAUCUCGAAAUAACAUGAUCGAAUGUAUAAGAUGGCGGCCCAUUGAUGAGUUCAUGUAUGUGUGUAAUUAUUUUGUGCAGUGAUUCUAUAAUUUUUUCUUACCAACAAUUUAUAAACCAUAAUUAUGGGCACAUCAGAUUUAGAAUGUAUAGAGUCUAAAAGAGACAUGGUUACUAUAGAUUCUGAAUCCGAUAUGUUAGUUGACCAAAGAAAGAAAAAGAAAAGAAAACAUAAACACCAUAAACAUAAGAAAGAUAAAUUAAUUGAAAGAGAAGAUGGCAGAAUAGAACGUCAAGAAAAAAAAAGACAUAAGAAACAUAAACGACCUAAAAAAGAAAGGGAAACUGAAAAUGGAUCAAUGAAUGAUAAAACAUCGCGUAUAAUUCAAAAAGAUUUAGGUAUAAAUGGCAAAGUAAAGAAUUCUUUAUUAGAGGUGGUUUCUACUGAAGAAAGUGAAGAUGAGAAAUUAGUAGAUUUAGAUUCAGAUGAGGUAGAUUGUACGAUUAUUGAAGAUGAUAUUGAUCUUGAAGAAUUAAUGAAACAAAAGGAGAGGUUACAAGCAUGUUUAGUUCAAUACCUUUCAGAUGAAUCUGAAAAAGAAGAUAAAGAACCAGAUCAAGAUGAAAUAAAAACCACUGAAACACCUGAUGUUAUACUUGUAGAGGAUGAUAGUGAAAAUGAUAACAUACCUCCCAAAAAACGAGCUAGGAGUAAAUCUGGUAGUAGAGAACGCAAAAAAAUAGCAAAACCCGAAAGACGUGUAGUAGUAGAUAUGACUAGGGAUCGUAAGAAUCGAGAAGAGCAUAAAGAUAAACGUAGAGAAUUAGAAAGGAGAAAAGAGGAAAAAAUUCGUACUAAAGAGGAAACUAGGAGAGAUGAUAGUAGAAAGGAUGAUAGACAAAUACGGAAACCAAAUGAUAGACACAGAGAAGAUUCUCGAAAGGAAGAUAGUAAAAGGCGAUUAGAAGAUGAUAAACGUAGAGAUUCUAUUAAAAAAGAUGAAUCACGUAAAAAAGAACAAGAUAAAAGAGAAGAAGAACGACGACGAGAUUCAGAUCAUCAUAAUUCCAGAUCCCGUAAUGAAUGCAAAUCAUUAGAUAAAACUGAUAAAUCUCGACGCGAGAGUCGCGAUAGAUUAGAAAAUCGAGAACGACAAAAUAGUCGAGAUCGACAUCUAAGUCGUGAUAGACAUAUUAGUCGAGAUCGUCACAUUAGUCGAGACCGACAUAUUAGUCGAGAUAGACAUACUAGUCGAGAUCGUCAUACCAGUAAAGAUCGACCAACUAGUCGCGAUCGUCGUAGUCGAGAUAGACCUGCCAGCAGAGAUCGACAUAGUCGUGAUAAAAGAGACAGCAAAGAGCAUUAUACUGAUCGCGAUCGAAUUAGAGAUAGUAGAAAUAGUCGUGAUCAUAAUGACAUACGAGAUCGACGAGACAGUCGAAAUCAUGACAGAAUUAGGGAACGUUCAAGAAGUACAAGAAGAUCCCGCAGUCCUAUUAGGAGUAGAUUGGAUAGAGAUCGAAAUGAUCGGUACAAACGAUCUAGAUCACUUUCUCGAAAUAGAAGAGAUAGAGAUAAGCAUAGAGAUAGAGAUCAUGAUAGAGAUAAAGAAAAAACUAGUAAAAGAGAACGUAAUGAUAAAUUUAAAGAUUCUUUAUCAGAAGGACUCAAAGUAGAACAUUCAGAAACAUCGAGUGAAGAGGAUAUCAAAGAUAUUGAUAUUGAAGAAGAGGAAGAUGAAGAAGUUAUUAUUGAACGUAGGAGGAAACAAAGAGAGGAACUUCUAAAGAGGUUAGGUGGUCCAAACGAAGAUUCAAAUAUGUCCGCUGACAUUAAUAUUGUUCCUGCAACUCCACCUUCUGAAAGUCAAUCAAAUGUAUCACAGAAAUCAAUAGAAGUUCCGUCUAAUAAUAACGAAUCUACUUCAGAAAGUCAUACUCCACCAUUGCCCGAGAAACCAAAAUCACCACAAAUUAAGAAAAGAAAAUCUAGAUUUGAAGAUGUUCUACCAGAAGAAAUUGAUAAAAACGAAGAUAUAAAACCAACAGAAAAAAUUAAACAAGAAGAAAAACAAAAUUCGAAAAAAUCGAAUGAAUGGGACAUGUUUGCUGAGGCAGAUAAUAUCGGUGAUUUUAAUAGUCCUACAGUUGAAGGAAAACGACAAGGUGGACCAGAUAAUCCAAGUUUAACAGAUAAUUGGGAUGAUGCAGAAGGAUACUACCGAGUACGUGUGGGAGAAACAUUAGAUUCUCGAUAUGUUGUUUAUGGAUAUACUGGUCAAGGUGUAUUUAGUAAUGUUGUAAGAGCUAGAGAUACUGCUAGAGGCAAUUUAGAUGUUGCUGUAAAAAUAAUAAGAAACAAUGAAAUAAUGCACAAAACUGGCCUUAAAGAAUUAGAAAUUCUUCGAAAACUUAAUGAUGCCGAUCCUGAAGAUAGAUUUCAUUGUUUAAGAUUAUUUAGACAUUUCUUUCAUAAGAAUCAUUUAUGUAUGGUUUUUGAACCUUUAGCCAUGAAUUUAAGAGAGGUUUUAAAAAAAUAUGGAAAAGACGUUGGUUUACAUGUUAAAGCGGUAAGAUCAUAUACGCAGCAACUUUUCCUUGCACUCAAAUUAUUAAAACGUGCAAAUAUUUUGCAUGCUGACAUCAAACCAGAUAAUAUUCUAGUCAGUGAAAGCAAGCUAGUACUGAAAUUAUGCGAUUUUGGGUCAGCAUCUCAUGCUCAUGAGAAUGAGAUAACACCAUAUUUGGUAUCAAGAUUUUAUCGAGCACCUGAAAUUAUUCUUGGUAUACCAUAUGAUUUCGGCAUUGAUAUGUGGUCUGUGGGAUGUACCAUAUAUGAAUUAUAUACGGGAAAAAUAAUGUUCUCGGGCAAAACAAACAACCAAAUGUUGAAAUUCUUCAUGGACUUGAAAGGCAAAAUGCCUAAUAAACUGAUUAGGAAAGGCUCAUUCAAGGAUCUACAUUUUGACUCUAACUGCAAUUUCCUAUAUCAUGAAGUUGAUAAAGUCACCGAGCGGGAAAAAGUUGUAGUUAUGUCUACUUUAUCUGCUACUCGUGAUCUAAGCGCAGAAUUAGGUGGAAAUUCUUUGCCACCAGAACAAAGUCGGAAAGUUGGACAGCUUAAGGAUCUUUUGGAACGAACAUUGAUGUUGGAUGCAGGAAAAAGAAUCACUGUGAAUCAUGCCCUGGCACAUCCAUUUAUACAAGAAAAAAUUUAGGUAACCCUGUCCGGGGUCCAUCCACAUCGGAGAAUUUGACGUAAUUUUGCAAAAAGAAUGUUUGAAACGACACCGCUAACGAUUCGUUGUAUAUCAUAAAAGCAUUACUAACAUAAUGCGGUGUCUAUUUAUAUCGAAUGUCCUAUAUCCGUUUCAGCAGAAAGAGGCGGUGCAAAAUUUUACAUUUCACUUACUCCAUCUGAAUAAAACAGGAAAACAUAUAAUGGGAGGAACGAAAAAUUAUUUGAAUCACAUAUUGUACUCUAUCAAUCUGAACUGUAUUAUUUAAUUAAUGAUAACUAUUGCAGGUCAAUAGAGUGCAAUAUCUUUAUAUUAAUUAAAAACCACUACAUAAAAAUGAUGCAUAAAAUAUUGGAGUUCGCCAUUGAUGCAUUUAUCGACGAUUGUAAAAACAACAUGUUUGUAUUCUACAGUGUACUGUAUCAGAGAGCGUAAUGAUUUUUUCGUGUAAAUUUGUUUGAAAUGAAAACCACGAUUUGGUUUAUUUCUUUUCUUUCUUUGUGCACAGCAGUUAUAAAGUAAUAAAUCCAACACGAUGAAUACUAGAGGAAGAGGCUUGAUGAAUAUAUGCGGUAUACAAUAUUCUUCCGUGGACGAAAAUGAAAAACUGGGAAAAGUGACCGCCUCUUUCAGCAUGAACUGGCCAUCGAUACUUAGCAUAAUGGUGAUAUGAGUCUUCGAUUCAAAGCAUCAAUAAGUGAGGGUGGACCUUUCAUGGGCUUUUAACGCUGAUCCCGUUGCAAGCCCUCCCUGUGUGGAGGGGAGGCAAUGGAAGAGAUGAAGGAAAACGGGGCGAGAUUCUCUCGACCGCACGCAGCUUGACAACUGUAUUAAAAUGAUGCCUAUCGCAGAAAGGAUCGCCAAAUAUGUAAUAUAGAUUUAUAUCAACAGGAAGGUUUGUCAUGAAAUUUCAUUGAAAUU
RNAcentral lists this unclassified non-coding RNA (4430 nucleotides) under Apis florea (little honeybee). RNAcentral describes it as "serine/threonine-protein kinase PRP4 homolog, transcript variant X1". Lineage: Eukaryota; Metazoa; Arthropoda; Insecta; Hymenoptera; Apidae. The record is from RNAcentral.